RNAcentral lists this ribosomal RNA (253 nucleotides) under uncultured bacterium. RNAcentral's name for it is "partial 16S ribosomal RNA". It matches the Rfam family "Bacterial small subunit ribosomal RNA", at positions 524 to 776 of the family's 1533-position model. The record is from RNAcentral.
GACGAACCGUGCGAACGUUGUUCGGAUUCACUGGGCUUAAAGGGCGCGUAGGCGGUCGGCCAAGUCUGGGGUGAAAUCUUUCGGCUCAACCGGAAAAGUGCCCCCGAUACUGGCCGUCUAGAGGGAGGUAGGGGCAUGUGGAACUUCCGGUGGAGCGGUGAAAUGCGCAGAUAUCGGGAAGAACACCCGUGGCGAAGGCGGCUCUCUGGGACGGUACUGACGCUGAGACGCGAAAGCGUGGGGAGCGAACAGG